RNAcentral lists this ribosomal RNA (492 nucleotides) under uncultured bacterium. Its description in RNAcentral is "partial 16S ribosomal RNA". It matches the Rfam family "Bacterial small subunit ribosomal RNA", at positions 29 to 507 of the family's 1533-position model. The record is from RNAcentral.
AGUGAACGCUGGCGGUAGGCCUAACACAUGCAAGUCGAACGGCAGCACAGUAAGAGCUUGCUCUUACGGGUGGCGAGUGGCGGACGGGUGAGGAAUACAUCGGAAUCUACUUUUUCGUGGGGGAUAACGUAGGGAAACUUACGCUAGUACCGCAUACGACCUACGGGUGAAAGCAGGGGAUCUUCGGACCUUGCGCGAUUGAAUGAGCCGAUGUCGGAUUAGCUAGUUGGCGGGGUAAAGGCCCACCAAGGCGACGAUCCGUAGCUGGUCUGAGAGGAUGAUCACCCACACUGGAACUGAGACACGUCCCACACUCCUACGGGAGGCAGCAGUGGGGAAUAUUGGACAAUGGGCGAAAGCCUGAUCCAGCCAUAUCGCGUGGGUGAAGAAGUCCUUCGGGUUGUAAAGCCCUGUUGUUGGUAAAGAAAAGCAGCAGGUUAAUACCCCGCUGUUCUGACGGUACCCAAAGAAUAAGCACCGGCUAACUUCGUG